GUAGAAAGUUCAUUUUGAAAUCAUUCAAUUGGGAAGAAGGCUAGUUCUUGACAUACUACUUGUUAAUUUUGCUCACAAGCCUCAAAAGACACUGCCUAUAGAGCAGUCAUUUUAUGACCUCACACACAGGGCCCUCCCCUUCCUCUCGGCAGUAGCCCAUGGGCACACCAUUGUACUCACAGUGGCCUGUUAUUUGUCAAGAGGCUGGAGCCCGAGGUGGCACUGUAAUGAUUUAGCCCUCUGAGGAUCAUUUAUUAAGUAGCUGUGGAUUGGGAAGCUGCUUGCAGCUGGUCACAGAGGUCACCAAGAAAAUUUUGCACCUGGAGAUUUUGUAUCAGCAAGAAGUGGAUAGAAAAGGAGAGGGUCGCUGGGAGGAAGUUGCCAGGUUCUCAAGUUACCCAGAAGACACAGUGGCCAUUUACAAGGAGAGGCAUUGGAAGUCCACACAGGGGCCCAGAGAAGCAAAAGACAGGACUUUCCCAAUAUCACAUCAACUGACUUCAGUCUUUCUAUUCCUUGCUGCAAGAUACUUCUACUAGAGAACAGAAGAAGUCAAUAUCUAAAGAAUGUCCAAAAAUAAAAAUUCUUCUUUUAAAAUGAGGUCUCGGUACCUCUUCAGGGAAGCCGUCCCUUCACAGUUCACAGUUCACAGUUCACAGUUCACAGUUCACAGUUAGGCCUUAUUGAUCUAAAAAGAACUGAGCUCUUCCUGAGUUUAUGGAUUUAUUAUAUUUCUAUGUUGCCUGCACUAGAAUGUAAACUCCAAGAGGACAGGGCUUUGUCUGUUCUGUUCACUGGUGUGCCCCGAGUACCCACCACAGUGCUUGGCCCCCAUGUGAUGGUCAGAAUGAAUAAAUGAAUGAAUGAAAUGAAAUCUGGCUGUCACCACAGGGACUCAGGACUAACAAUAGAAGGAACAAAAAUAAGAUCUGAAAAAGCUAUAUGUUUAUUACAAUAAAAAUAAUGUACUAAAUGGGCAUUUUGAGAAACUUCAUUUUGUUUCUUUUUGUCCUGGUAAUGAGGGCUAAGAAGAUCCCAGAUAUUACCAUCUCCCUGGUGUCCCCAAACCUUUACUUAUUAAGGUCAGACACCUGCCAUUUA
Macaca mulatta (Rhesus monkey) is the source of this 1101-nucleotide long non-coding RNA. The record is from Ensembl. NCBI's taxonomy places the organism in Eukaryota, Metazoa, Chordata, Mammalia, Primates, Cercopithecidae.